Molecule: ribosomal RNA, 501 nt
Filed under: uncultured bacterium
Lineage: Bacteria
Description: partial 16S ribosomal RNA
Rfam family: Bacterial small subunit ribosomal RNA
Source: RNAcentral
AUUGAACGCUGGCGGCAGGCUUAACACAUGCAAGUCGAGCGGGGGGAGGUAGCUUGCUACCGGACCUAGCGGCGGACGGGUGAGUAAUGCUUAGGAAUCUGCCUAUUAGUGGGGGACAACAUCUCGAAAGGGAUGCUAAUACCGCAUACGCCCUACGGGAGAAAGCAGGGGAUCUUCGGACCUUGCGCUAAUAGAUGAGCCUAAGUCGGAUUAGCUAGUUGGUGGGGUAAAGGCCUACCAAGGCGACGAUCUGUAGCGGGUCUGAGAGGAUGAUCCGCCACACUGGGACUGAGACACGGCCCAGACUCCUACGGGAGGCGGCAGUGGGGAAUAUUGGACAAUGGGGGGAACCCUGAUCCAGCCAUGCCGCGUGUGUGAAGAAGGCCUUAUGGUUGUAAAGCACUUUAAGCGAGGAGGAGGCUACUUUAGUUAAUACCUAGAGAUAGUGGACGUUACUCGCAGAAUAAGCACCGGCUAACUCUGUGCCAGCCGCCGCAGUAA